Molecule: long non-coding RNA, 1675 nt
Filed under: Marmota monax (woodchuck)
Lineage: Eukaryota; Metazoa; Chordata; Mammalia; Rodentia; Sciuridae
Source: RNAcentral
UUUUAUUCUCUGAUAAUUUUAAGAUUGCUUCCUUAGAAUAAAAGACCUAGAAUAGCCAAAGCAAUUCUAUGCCAAAAAGCCAUGUGAAAGGCAUCACAAAACCCAACUUCAAAGUAUAUGACAGAGCUAUACUAAUGAAAAGACUGCAUGAUACUGGCUUAAGAACAGACAUGUAGACCAAGGAACAGAAUAGAAGAUACAGAGACAAAAUAUACAGAUACAGUCAUCUGAUCCUUGACAAAGGUGCCAGAAAAUACAUCAGAGAAAAGACAAUCUUUUAAAAAAAAAUGGUGCUGGGAAAACUAAUUAUCCAUAUGUAGAAGAAUGAAACUAAAUCCCUAUCUCUCAUCUUGCACAAAAAAUCAGCUGAAAGUGAAUCAAAGACCUAGGAAUUAGACCAGAAACUUCGUAACUCCUAGGAAAAAACCUGGGGUUAACACUCCAAUAUAUGGGUGUCAGCAACGAUUUCCUCAAUAGGAAUCCUAUAGCUCAGGAAAUAAUAUAAAGAAUUGAUAAGUAGGGCUGGGGUUGUGGCUCAGUGGUAGAGUGUUUGCCUAGCAUGCGUGAGGCACUUGGUUCGAUCCCCAGCACCACAUAAAAAAAAAAUAAAAUAAAGGUGUUGUGUCCAUCUACAACUAAAAAUAAAUAUAAAAAAAAGAAUUGACAAGUAGGAUGGAAUCAAAUUUAAAAAGCUGCACAAUAAAGGAAAUAAGAAUAUGAAAAAGGAACCCACAGAAUGCGAGAAAACCUUUGCUAGCGACUCUUUGACAAAGGAUAAUAUCCAGAAUAUAUAAAGAACUCAAAAAACUUUACACCAAAAAAACUAAAAAACAAUUAAUAAAUGGGUAAAUGAACUAAAUAUAUUGACACUUGUCAAAGGAAAAAAUACAGGGGCUGGAGUUUUGGUUCAGUGGUAGAGCACUUGCUUUGCAAGUGUGAGGCACUGGGUUCGAUCUUAGCACCACAAAAAACAAAGGCAUUGAGUGCAUACCCAACUAAAAUAUAUAUAUUUUUUAAAAAAUAAAGAGAUACAAAUGACCAUCAAAUACAUGAAAAAAUGUUCAACAUUUUUAGCAAUUAGGAAAUGCAAGUCAAAUUACACUGAGAUUUUAUCUCACACCAGUCAGAAUGGCAGCCAUCAAAAAUACAAACUGUAAUAAGUGCUGGGAGGAUGUGGAGAAAAAGGAACACUUUUACAUUGUUGGUGGGACUGUUAAUUAGUACAGCCACUAUGGAAAUCAGUAUGAAGUUUCCUCAAAAGACUAGGCAUGAAACCACUCUGUGACCCGGUUGUAUCACUCCUUGGUAUUUAGCCUAAAAAAUUAAAGUCAUCAUACUGUAGUGAUACAUGAAUACCCAUGUGUAUAGCAGUAUAAUUCACAAUAGCCAAAUUAUGGAACCAGCCUAGGUGACAUCAGCAGAUAAAUGGAUAAAGCAAAUGUAUAUAUAACCAUUGGAGUUAUAUUCAGCCAUAAAAGAAGAAUGAAAUUAGGUCAUCUACAGAAAAUGGAUGAAAUUUGAAAGCAUUAUGUUAAAUGAAAUAAGCCAAACUCAGAAGGUUAAGGGUCAUAUGUUUUCUCUCCUAUAUAGAUGCUAAAGAGGAAAAAUAAAAAGAAAGGUGCUGGUGGGGGAAAUCUCAUAAAAGUUGAAGGAAAACCAGUAGAGUUGAGGAAAG